UCGCAGCGGCGUUGAAGGCUGGGUCCUCUGCAAUGCCGGGCCGUGAACCUGGUCAGGUCCGGAAGGAAGCAGCCAUAAGCGUGCUUUCGGCAUGUGCCGGAGGGCUGCCUGGCUGGAGCUUGCCCGUCGGGUCGGGCCCGUUGAAGCACAUCGAAGCGGAGCGCACGG
RNAcentral lists this signal recognition particle RNA (168 nucleotides) under Planctomycetales bacterium 4484_123. RNAcentral describes it as "partial signal recognition particle sRNA large type". It matches the Rfam family "Bacterial large signal recognition particle RNA", at positions 96 to 256 of the family's 256-position model. From Rfam's summary of the family: The signal recognition particle (SRP) is a universally conserved ribonucleoprotein involved in the co-translational targeting of proteins to membranes. Archaeal SRP consists of a 7S RNA and homologues of the eukaryotic SRP19 and SRP54 proteins. In most bacteria, the SRP consists of a 4.5S RNA and the Ffh protein (a homologue of the eukaryotic SRP54 protein). Lineage: Bacteria; Pseudomonadati; Planctomycetota; Planctomycetia; Planctomycetales. The record is from RNAcentral.